AGCAGCCGCGGUAAUUCCAGCUCCAAUAGCGUAUAUUAAAGUUGUUGCAGUUAAAAAGCUCGUAGUUGAAUUUCGGGAUCAAUCUAUCGGUCGUGCAAUAGUACGUACUGAUUUUAUUGAUUCCUACCUUCUGAUGAACUAUGAUGUCAUUAAUUUGGUGUCAUAGGGAAUCAGGACUGUUACUUUGAAAAAAUUAGAGUGUUUAAAGCAGGCUCACGCUUGAAUACAUUAGCAUGGAAUAACGAAAUAGGACGUUUGAUUCUAUUUUGUUGGUUUCUAGGAUCGACGUAAUGAUUAAUAGGGAUAGUUGGGGGCAUUAGUAUUCAAUUGUCGGAGGUGAAAUUCUUGGAUUUAUUGAAGCUAACUACUGCGAAAGCAUUUGCCAAGGAUGUUUUCAUUAAUCAAGAACGAAAGUU
This 416-nucleotide ribosomal RNA is filed under the name uncultured Glomeromycotina. RNAcentral describes it as "SSU rRNA". It matches the Rfam family "Eukaryotic small subunit ribosomal RNA", at positions 569 to 991 of the family's 1831-position model. The record is from RNAcentral. Lineage: Eukaryota; Fungi; Glomeromycota.